GAGUUUGAUCAUGGCUCAGAUUGAACGCUGGCGGCAGGCCUAACACAUGCAAGUCGAACGGUAACAGGAAGCAGCUUGCUGCUUCGCUGACGAGUGGCGGACGGGUGAGUAAUGUCUGGGAAGCUGCCUGAUGGAGGGGGAUAACUACUGGAAACGGUAGCUAAUACCGCAUAAUGUCGCAAGACCAAAGAGGGGGACCUUCGGGCCUCUUGCCAUCGGAUGUGCCCAGAUGGGAUUAGCUUGUUGGUGGGGUAACGGCUCACCAAGGCGACGAUCCCUAGCUGGUCUGAGAGGAUGACCAGCCACACUGGAACUGAGACACGGUCCAGACUCCUACGGGAGGCAGCAGUGGGGAAUAUUGCACAAUGGGCGCAAGCCUGAUGCAGCCAUGCCGCGUGUAUGAAGAAGGCCUUCGGGUUGUAAAGUACUUUCAGCGGGGAGGAAGGGAGUAAAGUUAAUACCUUUGCUCAUUGACGUUACCCGCAGAAGAAGCACCGGCUAACUCCGUGCCAGCAGCCGCGGUAAUACGGAGGGUGCAAGCGUUAAUCGGAAUUACUGGGCGUAAAGCGCACGCAGGCGGUUUGUUAAGUCAGAUGUGAAAUCCCCGGGCUCAACCUGGGAACUGCAUCUGAUACUGGCAAGCUUGAGUCUCGUAGAGGGGGGUAGAAUUCCAGGUGUAGCGGUGAAAUGCGUAGAGAUCUGGAGGAAUACCGGUGGCGAAGGCGGCCCCCUGGACGAAGACUGACGCUCAGGUGCGAAAGCGUGGGGAGCAAACAGGAUUAGAUACCCUGGUAGUCCACGCCGUAAACGAUGUCGACUUGGAGGUUGUGCCCUUGAGGCGUGGCUUCCGGAGCUAACGCGUUAAGUCGACCGCCUGGGGAGUACGGCCGCAAGGCUAAAACUCAAAUGAAUUGACGGGGGCCCGCACAAGCGGUGGAGCAUGUGGUUUAAUUCGAUGCAACGCGAAGAACCUUACCUGGUCUUGACAUCCACGGAAGUUUUCAGAGAUGAGAAUGUGCCUUCGGGAACCGUGAGACAGGUGCUGCAUGGCUGUCGUCAGCUCGUGUUGUGAAAUGUUGGGUUAAGUCCCGCAACGAGCGCAACCCUUAUCCUUUGUUGCCAGCGGUCCGGCCGGGAACUCAAAGGAGACUGCCAGUGAUAAACUGGAGGAAGGUGGGGAUGACGUCAAGUCAUCAUGGCCCUUACGACCAGGGCUACACACGUGCUACAAUGGCGCAUACAAAGAGAAGCGACCUCGCGAGAGCAGGCGGACCUCAUAAAGUGCGUCGUAGUCCGGAUUGGAGUCUGCAACUCGACUCCAUGAAGUCGGAAUCGCUAGUAAUCGUGGAUCAGAAUGCCACGGUGAAUACGUUCCCGGGCCUUGUACGCACCGCCCGUCACACCAUGGGAGUGGGUUGCAAAAGAAGUAGGUAGCUUAACCUUCGGGAGGGCGCUUACCACUUUGUGAUUCAUGACUGGGGUGAAGUCGUAACAAGGUA
This 1499-nucleotide ribosomal RNA is filed under the name metagenome. Its description in RNAcentral is "bacterial SSU rRNA". It matches the Rfam family "Bacterial small subunit ribosomal RNA". The record is from RNAcentral.